AAAUUGAAGAGUUUGAUCAUGGCUCAGAUUGAACGCUGGCGGCAGGCCUAACACAUGCAAGUCGAGCGGAAACGAGUUAUCUGAACCUUCGGGGGACGAUAACGGCGUCGAGCGGCGGACGGGUGAGUAAUGCCUAGGAAAUUGCCCUGAUGUGGGGGAUAACCAUUGGAAACGAUGGCUAAUACCGCAUGAUGCCUACGGGCCAAAGAGGGGGACCUUCGGGCCUCUCGCGUCAGGAUAUGCCUAGGUGGGAUUAGCUAGUUGGUGAGGUAAGGGCUCACCAAGGCGACGAUCCCUAGCUGGUCUGAGAGGAUGAUCAGCCACACUGGAACUGAGACACGGUCCAGACUCCUACGGGAGGCAGCAGUGGGGAAUAUUGCACAAUGGGCGCAAGCCUGAUGCAGCCAUGCCGCGUGUGUGAAGAAGGCCUUCGGGUUGUAAAGCACUUUCAGUCGUGAGGAAGG
Molecule: ribosomal RNA, 464 nt
Filed under: Vibrio parahaemolyticus
Lineage: Bacteria; Pseudomonadati; Pseudomonadota; Gammaproteobacteria; Vibrionales; Vibrionaceae
Description: bacterial SSU rRNA
Rfam family: Bacterial small subunit ribosomal RNA
Source: RNAcentral